UAAGUUGAUUGAAAGUUUGCAUUGCCACCCAAAUUCUCAUUUAUUUUUAAAAUAAUUAGUUCUUUUUUUAUUAUUAUUACAGAGGAGAUUGAAUAAUAGCCUUUUGAAAUCUAUGCAAAGUGAAACAGCAGAAUCUUCAACAUUGGGAAGAUAAGAAGUUUUCCUCCAGUUAAUUAAAGGAAUAAGAAUUAUGGAACUUUAUAAACAUUUAAUUAUGUCAUUAAGAUUUAAGGAAAAGAGAACUAUUCAGCUUUCAAACACAUGAAAAAAGCACAUUGAAACCAGCAACAUGGAGAAGCUGCUGCUCUCCCCGGGUCACAGCGACACCUUUACAGGUGGGACUCAGAGGUCAUUAGCACUGGGGUGGUUCAUCCUCUGUUCAGCUUCUGUGCCACGACGUAGGCCAGGAAUCCUGCCAGGAGGAGGACUUGGGUCCUGGCUCCUAACCACCCCUGUUGGACUCCAGCUGCCAGCACCGCCCAAAGAAGAGAGCAUGCCGCCCGGCCUUAAGAAAGCUUGCAGCUCCUGAGAGUGGCAGGUUAAAAACCUAUAGGAUGGUUCAAUCAAAGGCAUUCCCUUGCUCCGUCCUGUGCCGCUAUUGUACGUUGGAACACAUGCUGCUAGGAGACAAAGAGGACAUGCGCUUAUUUUCAAGCGUAGGACUUUGGA
Molecule: long non-coding RNA, 669 nt
Organism: Lemur catta (Ring-tailed lemur)
Lineage: Eukaryota; Metazoa; Chordata; Mammalia; Primates; Lemuridae
Exons: 3
Source: RefSeq, a predicted model, not a curated record